Molecule: ribosomal RNA, 651 nt
Filed under: Lacticaseibacillus rhamnosus
Lineage: Bacteria; Bacillati; Bacillota; Bacilli; Lactobacillales; Lactobacillaceae
Description: bacterial SSU rRNA
Rfam family: Bacterial small subunit ribosomal RNA
Source: RNAcentral
GUCUGUAACUGACGCUGAGGCUCGAAAGCAUGGGUAGCGAACAGGAUUAGAUACCCUGGUAGUCCAUGCCGUAAACGAUGAAUGCUAGGUGUUGGAGGGUUUCCGCCCUUCAGUGCCGCAGCUAACGCAUUAAGCAUUCCGCCUGGGGAGUACGACCGCAAGGUUGAAACUCAAAGGAAUUGACGGGGGCCCGCACAAGCGGUGGAGCAUGUGGUUUAAUUCGAAGCAACGCGAAGAACCUUACCAGGUCUUGACAUCUUUUGAUCACCUGAGAGAUCAGGUUUCCCCUUCGGGGGCAAAAUGACAGGUGGUGCAUGGUUGUCGUCAGCUCGUGUCGUGAGAUGUUGGGUUAAGUCCCGCAACGAGCGCAACCCUUAUGACUAGUUGCCAGCAUUUAGUUGGGCACUCUAGUAAGACUGCCGGUGACAAACCGGAGGAAGGUGGGGAUGACGUCAAAUCAUCAUGCCCCUUAUGACCUGGGCUACACACGUGCUACAAUGGAUGGUACAACGAGUUGCGAGACCGCGAGGUCAAGCUAAUCUCUUAAAGCCAUUCUCAGUUCGGACUGUAGGCUGCAACUCGCCUACACGAAGUCGGGAAUCGCUAGUAAUCGCGGAUCAGCACGCCGCGGGUGAAUACGUUCCCGGGUCC